Long non-coding RNA from Oreochromis niloticus (Nile tilapia), 1494 nucleotides. RefSeq lists it as uncharacterized. The record is from RefSeq and is a predicted model, not a curated record. The transcript is spliced from 2 exons. NCBI's taxonomy places the organism in Eukaryota, Metazoa, Chordata, Actinopteri, Cichliformes, Cichlidae.
UGGGUCAGUGACCCUGUCACGGACCCGGCUCUGGAGGACUCGGGGGUCCAUGAGCAGUGUUGACUGUUAUUAUUAUUAUUAUUACUACUACUAUUAUUAUUGUAAUUAUUUGGUGAUGUGUGUGUUUUUCUGCACAAUGCUGUGUUAUUCUGUGUUCCACUCGUUAUAUGUUUAGGCAGGUUGUGGGUGUGUAUAUGUGUGUCUUCGGGUGUGGCUGUUGGAUGGAGGACAGCCACCUGCAGGCCUGAUGGGUGUGGCCCUGCGGGAAGACUGACCACGCCUGAAGUCCCUGCCACACACACCGGUUGCUGAUCAGGGCUCGUCGGGGGAGCUAUUUAGGAGAGUGUUGGAGCUCCCACCGGCGCGGGAUCAUUGCGUUGUCAUCCCAAGAGGAAGAGUGGACCAGAAAGGCAGCAUGCACGGGGUGUGCGGAAACAUGACAGCGAGGAGCACGAGCACAGACGCCAGAGGGGAGCACACACACGGGAGUCAAGGGAGCAACGGGGAUUCAUUGUGUUUACAGCUUUCACUGUUAAUAAAGUGCACUGUUUGCAUCGUAGAAUCCUGUGUUUUGGGUCCUCCUUUCCCCACAUCCCCACGGUUUGCCCUGGCAAACCAUGACAGACCCAGUGUUUUUGGUUGUUGUACUUUUACUUUUGAUAGUUUUAUGUAUCAAAACUGUUGUGUUUUGGUUUCCCAGGGUUUAGUUGUGUUCCCUGUGUUUGGUGUUAUCCCUGCCUGUGUAUCCGCUUUUAUGUAGUAAGGUCUCUGUGUUUAGUUCACGUUUCUUAGUCUGUGUCUUUGCGUGUAUGUACUCCUGUUUCACUUUGAAGGUCCCUGUCUGAUGUCAGUGUGUUCUGUUACGUUUCCCUGCCUCGUCAGCUGUGAUGUCUUCCAGGUGUGUUCCCCUCCUGUUUCCCAUCCCUUGAUUCCUGGUGUGUGUAUUUAUAGUGUGUGUUACCUCGUCCUCGUUGCUGGUUUGUCUGCAUCUCUCUGUCCAUCAUUCUGUGUAUUUCCCUGUGCCUCCCUGCAUCUGGUUAGUUUCUGUUAGUUUUUCCCAGUUUAGGUUUUCUUAGUUUCAUGCUCCCCCUCGCCAUCUCUGUUUGUAUCUUGUUAAAGGAUUUUUAUAUGUAUUCUGCUUUAUUGUAGUUAAAAAAUCCCUAGUUGUUUAGCUUCAUUUAAAACUCCUAUUUCACUGUGUUUCAUGACAAAGCUUGCAUGAGGAAAUACCACAGGUGCCUCCACCCUUGCUGAGUUUGCUGAGAUAAGCUUGACCAGUUCCUAUUUUUAACUGUUUGAACAUAUGUUUCAUGCUUAUCACCUUGUAAGGAGUUGUUUUACACACAAGGGGCACCGACCUGACAUAUUUUAGGAAGGAGCAGUGUAUAAAUACAGAGGGAACUGAUGUCUCAGUGUGAGUCUCCACUGAGAUCACCCAUGUAUAUACAUGUUUGAGUUGUGUCUUUCUUUGCUUGCUGAAACGAUUCUUUGACA